Molecule: transfer RNA, 71 nt
Filed under: Vibrio cholerae
Lineage: Bacteria; Pseudomonadati; Pseudomonadota; Gammaproteobacteria; Vibrionales; Vibrionaceae
Also listed under: 2 other names
Description: tRNA-Arg
Rfam family: tRNA
About the family: Transfer RNA (tRNA) molecules are approximately 80 nucleotides in length. Their secondary structure includes four short double-helical elements and three loops (D, anti-codon, and T loops).
Source: RNAcentral
GCGCUCGUAGCUCAGCUGGAUAGAGUACCUGGCUACGAACCAGGCGGUCAGAGGUUCGAAUCCUCUCGAGC